GGGGAUAUAGCUUAGUGGCACAGUGCCUGCUUGGCAAGCAGCAAAUCUUCAGUUUGAUUCCUGGUACCCCCC
Molecule: transfer RNA, 72 nt
Filed under: Cavia porcellus (domestic guinea pig)
Lineage: Eukaryota; Metazoa; Chordata; Mammalia; Rodentia; Caviidae
Rfam family: tRNA
About the family: Transfer RNA (tRNA) molecules are approximately 80 nucleotides in length.
Source: Rfam by way of RNAcentral